This is a long non-coding RNA of Dreissena polymorpha, 1157 nucleotides long. RefSeq lists it as uncharacterized. The transcript has 3 exons. Lineage: Eukaryota; Metazoa; Mollusca; Bivalvia; Myida; Dreissenidae. The record is from RefSeq and is a predicted model, not a curated record.
AGUGGCAACUACAACCAGGCCCUCGAGACUUACAAGUACAUACACAGGAGGUUCCCAGACAACGUCGAAUGCCUGAAGUUCCUGGUACGUAUCUGCUCUGACCUGGGACUGAAGUAGGCCCAGGAGUACGCCACGAAGCUGAAGAAGGCUGAGAAAGCCAAGGAGCUGAAGGACCAGCGCACUAACAGCGCCUCACGGAGGGGCUCGGGACGGCGCAGGGAGGGGAGUGCAGAGGGAGACCGUGAGGGCAGUGCUGGUAUGCGACCCGCGGGCAAGCGAGGGGGUGCAGCAGGUGCUCCUGGGCAGCGCCGCAGACCAAACCUUGAUGAGGCAGACGAGGAUGUGUACAGGCCUCGCAAACAGGAAGUGGAUCCCUCGUACUCAGACCCCCUCGGGCCCCAGAUGGAGCGACCCAAACUACUGCGGCAAAACGACGCGACCCUUGAUGACGACUUUGCUGAUGAGGAGUUGGGCGAGGGAUUUGUUGCCAGAAUAGACUUGACAGGAUGAUACGGGACAGAUAGGUCGAGAGGGACAGAUUGGAAGAGAUGGAAUGGGACUCAGUGGGAUCAUCAUUAGAGAAAUAUUUGACAUCUCUGGAACUGUUACUCUCUAUGGAAGUUGUUUGCUAUAAAAUAUACAAUAAGGUUUAUUUUAGGCAAAUUAAAGUUUGAGCAUUUCCAGAAUGCAAGAAUUAAAACAAAUAAAAUUAUACAAAGAAAUUUCAUUAUAUUGUUUAUAAAACUAUACAAAAAAUUGCUAAUACUAAAAACAAUGUAUUAUUAAAUCAUGAAAGUACAUGUAGUAGGAAGUACAUAUUUAUUGUCCCACAGAGCAUAUGCUAUUUUUAUCAAAUUUCUCCUCUGUCGGUUGCUGAAGUGUUUUAUUGAUAUUUAUUGUGAUAUACUGUUAUUUAUUGACAUUCCGUCCCUUAUUCUGUGAUUAAUCGGAUACUUGUAUGAAAUAUUUUGCUUGCUUAGUAUCUGCAAAUUCUGCUUCAAGAUUACAUCAUAGAUAAACAUUCAGUAUUCAUUUUUAUUGACAUUCACUAUUUGACAUUUCUUUUUGAUUGAAUAUUUGUGUGUUUCAGUUUUCAUAUUGCAAAUGUUUUAAAUAUAAGAAAUAAGCAUACAAAUAAAUUGUGAUGUAGAUCUUUA